AUAAUUAGAUCAGCACAGAAUACAAAAACAAGAUGUAUUUUGAACAGUACAGGGGACAGUCUGCCCACGUCUGUUUGAAAUGAGAUGACCACCCUCACGUUGAAGUACACCACGCUGAGAUGAAAACACAGUGGCACACUGGGCUGUUUGCUAAGGAGCUCGAGUAAAUGAAGACUCAGAGAGAAACCAUGGGCUCAGACAAUGGUAUGAAAAGCUUUCUUUGUCACCCCAGAGGCAUUUGUUUUCAGGUAACCUGGUGCAUGUAUGGCCACAGUGAUGGUUGUACUGUCAACAUCCCAAGGGUCCCGUGCCACCCAUAGGUCAGAAUGGGGCCUUUGGGAAGGGGAUAUCAGGAGCUGCAGCUGCCUGCCCAGGUCAUGGCACAGCUGAUCUACCUAGGCCAGGACAUGGUACGUACCAAAAGGCACUAUAAAUUUCUGACUUUGUAUCUGAACUAAGAUUAAAUUUCUGUGAUGCUCGUAAGUAGGGCAAGCUCACCAAAUGGCUCUGCUGACUUUGAGGAAACAGACCACAGGCCCAGCAGAGACCCUUCAGACAAAAUAAAAACUGUUCUGCUUUGCAGAAGCCUAAACCAUUCACGGAAUCUGCCUUCACUGAAGAAACAUGUUGGCAUAAAAUUUGCUUUGAAACUUUUUGUUAUGAAAAUUUCCUAACUACUUAUAAAGAUGGAGCAUCUGCAGGUCAUUUCAGAGUACUCUCAGAUGUGACAGGUGUCAUGUUUUCAUCCUCUGCCACUACAGACAGAGUGCCUCACUCCUCCUCCCUUCCCCUUCCUACAGCAAUCACUUUCCUUAAACAUGUCAACAUUUGCCAAACAAUGGAAACAUCAAAGGUGACUUUUCACUCCUCCUGAUUCCAUGCGGCUUAGUCCUGGUGUUAUUGCACGAUAAAAGGUAAACAGAUUCAGAUGAGAAAGUGCGGUCAUAAUAAACUCUGAGGUCUCUGUAAAUCCUACAAGGAAGCCAGAAACAAUCCCUCUCCCAGGACUGCAGUUACUCCGACCAUGAUAACCAUCCAGAACUGGGCUAAUUCCUCUUUUCAUCAGAUAAAGGCAGAGCUAAUUUUCUUCAACAACAGUCCAGAGCACACUCCUAAGGUUUGAUUUGGAUGGUGUAAAUUAACAUCUUUGCCUGAAAGUGCUGGUAUGCCAGAUUAUCCUUCUAUGAAAAAUAAUUACAGUUAGAGGUACCAUUUGCUAUUUUCAUAACAUGAA
RNAcentral lists this long non-coding RNA (1234 nucleotides) under Taeniopygia guttata (zebra finch). Its description in RNAcentral is "lncRNA (ENSTGUG00000024147.1)". The record is from RNAcentral. Lineage: Eukaryota; Metazoa; Chordata; Aves; Passeriformes; Estrildidae.